Molecule: RNA transcript, 3205 nt
Organism: Diceros bicornis minor
Lineage: Eukaryota; Metazoa; Chordata; Mammalia; Perissodactyla; Rhinocerotidae
Gene name: ral guanine nucleotide dissociation stimulator-like
Exons: 11
Source: RefSeq, a predicted model, not a curated record
CCUAGGUCAGAACUCAGUCCCAGCUGCUCACUGUCUAGUCUUCUGGGGAAGCAGAUAAUUCUUCUGGGGACACGACACAUCAGGUGUUAAGGAUGUCAUUCUUCUUUUUUAAACAAAUGUUAGAUCAUGUAACGUGCUUCUCAGGACAGGAGGAGCCGCCUCAAGGGAAGGCAGAUCUUCUCCAGGAACUGAUGGUCAUCCAGGGAGAGCAGAGUCAAGGACUGCAGAGUGCCAGCCAGCUCCCGCUCUCCCUCUCAGGCUCCACAUACUGGGCUCAAAACGUCUGGUCCAGUGGUUAAAAGCUGUUCACAGGGGUGACUGGACCCCACUAAGCAUUCUUUCGUCUGUACUGAAUAUUUCACCAAAAACAGCUCUAGGAAAGGCUGGAGGAUCAGUACUAUGUGCUCAAGCCAUGGCCACGCCCUCCAUCUUCCACCUGACUGAGACGUGGGGGCUGAAGGCCACAGCCACCCCAGGAGAAAGGACAUCAGGAAGGCCACCGGGGGCCUGAGGAACAUGCGCGUGAAGCAGAUGGGAAAGGAGCUGCAGGUUCAUUGUGGUCCUUGAGGGAAAAGCUGAGGGCCCAGCCGUGGUCCCGCAAGUGGAAGUAACCGGCUCUGCAGGGUGAACACGCACCCAGUGCCGCCCAGGAAGCUGCCAGUCAGGAUUGGGCGCAGUCUCUGGAAGGAACUCCAGGAGACAGUGUGGCCUCCACAGUAUUAGGCAGCCAAGGAGAUGCAAACACGUCUGCUGUAGAUGCUGGCGAUGAGACCCCCUCUUCCCAGCCAGGGCCUGCUGGGUAAGAGUGGCAUUUCCGUGAAUGACUUUAUCCCUCAGGAUCGGGGCAUGCAGAUUUACUGGCUGGCUUCCUUCUUACAGUUUCUUCUCAGAGCACACUCAAGAGAGGCCAUCUGUCCCUUGAGAGGCUGUUGACCAAAAGAGGCUGAAGAAGGAUGUGGAGCCCAGCUGCAGCGGGACCAGCCUGGGGCCUGAUGAGAGCUUGGCCCAGAACCCCCAAGUUCAUCAUUCACAAUGAUGCCUCAGAAACCCUCCCAGAGCCCCUCCACCCUCCGACGGAUGUCACCCUGAAGCCAGCCGCAGAAGCUGUGCGGGGCGAGCACAGCGACACCAGCCCUCUGUCCCUCAGCUGAGUCAUCCUGUCAGCACUGGGGGCCCAAGAUCUCCUCGACUGCUGCACUUCUACUGCUUCUGCUCCCUGGGGAACAGGAGCACGGGUGCCGCCUGCGGGAGCAGGUGGAGAAGAACGGCCAGCUGAAGAGGGGCAGCCGCCGACAGCCAGGUGCACAAGCUGCAGGAGGAGCUGGACGAGCUGAAGGGAGGGGCUCCCUGCUUUAGCAGCCUGCUGCCCCCCGCCGAGAUUCUGUACAACAGAACAGCCGGGCCAGUGGCCAGCAAGUUCCAGAGUUUGAGAGGUUUGCCCUCCAGAAAGCCGGUGGUGAUUGGCCUUCUCACAGGACGUGGUACACUGUCCCUGAGCCCGCUCUAACUCGCCAGUUGCAGAGCUCCAGCCAGCAGCAGAAGCAGAGCAGUGGGCAGUGGUGGAGGUAGAGCUGGCUCCAGCUUCCUUGACACCACCCUCUCUAGCACUGGAGCCAGUGUCCCCUCCACCAGCAGUGUUGGAGCUGGAGCAAGGGCCGACAUCGGCUGCAGCAGGAGUGGGAGCUGCUGAGCUGGAGUCACCUGGACCAUCAUUUCUAGUGGGAAGUCCAUCUCCACCUGUGGCUAAGAAGCAUGAGAAGAAGCCCAACCUACGGCCUUCCCUCCUAAGCUGGUGGUGGAGCAGUUGACCGUGAUGGAUGCGGAGUGCGAGAUCCUGAAGAACUUCUCCUCGCCCCGCACUGUCAUCUCUUCUCUGCAGAAAACAUCCAUAUGCCACCUGAAGAACACAUGGAGGAAGUUUCCUGGGAGAGCUCUGAAAAAUUUAAAGAGAGCUAUAGCCAAGACGAGUCCUUGAACAGAGAACUGAUGACCAAGGUUAACAAGCAGAGGGAUCUGUUCUGCCCAUGGGCAGGUGGGGUGCCAUUUUUGGGCAGGAGGCCUUGGUCAUGGGACACAGUGGUGUUGGCUGGGCUGUUCCAGGACGAGUUGCCGAGCUGGCGCCAUCAGCAGGUCAAACACCAAGGGUAGAGGUCAUCAAAAGAUCAAGUCUAAUCUACCUACGGGUGUGGCAGCCUUAACUAUGGAUGUUCAAGCCAGACAUUGCCAGAAGAACUACAUCUCUUCACCCAUAGAAGAUGCAACCUACAGCUGAAGAGAAACAGAUACAACACCAAUAUCUUAUCCUCUCUGAAGCCAAACUGAGAGCCCCUGGAGUCAGAAGUUUCCAAGAAAAGAAAAAGUCAUCCAUCUUCGGAAGAGAGACAGUAGAGCACGGACUGUAGGAGAAAGCCCAGAGGAGCAAUGAAGACAGAGAAGACAUGACACCUGCAAAAAGUCAGUGGAGUAUUUCUACGUAACAAACCUUCCAGGCUGCCAUGAUCCUCCCUUUGGACUCCAUGGUCAGGGUCAUUGAAGAGAUCCUCCCUUUGGACCCCGCCUGCCUGAAGGGCCUAUACCUUGGUCAGGCAUCUUAGAAGGACUGCUGUGAGCCAUGUCAUAAAAAGGAGAAAACAUCACAGUGGACAGCCCCAAUUCCUGCAUAUACAGAUGGGAAAAUUAGGUGCACUGGUAAGUGACUCCUAAGCCGCUUCAGGGGACCACACGCAAGCCCCUUCUCCGACGCUGCACACAGGCCUUGUUCACUGGACUUCCUUGGCCUCAUUAACACAGGCAACAGCACUGAAACUUCCCGUUGUUCCUUCCCACAAUGUCAGGGAAGUUUGUGUAGGAAGGUAAUAUGCAAUUUCUGCUCUACUAUAGGGCUGGCUCCUUGGGAACCAGUUUUAAUAUCUCUUUUUAAAUAUAUCCACAGAAUCACAAAAUAAUUAAACAAAAUAAUUUGUUGCUCUUGGGGGUUAUAGCGAUAAUUCUCUUGAGUCGUUUUUCCAUUUAGCUUCUCUGAUUGACUCCAAAUACUACAGCACCACACCCUUCUAGACUGGUGGAUGUGCAGCUCCACUUCUUUGCAAGGAGGACACGCAAUAGCAGAAUAUCCAUGGCCCAACUUUCUGGAGCAUCAGUAUUACUACAAGAUUUGGAAGAAGCUAAGUUAGGUCAUUUCCAGGGUAAGGAAUUAAAAACUUAA